ACGCGGUACCGAACACAGUUUUUUUGCCAUUUCUUUUCCAACUAUGGACCAAGAUUGUUUACCAAGUAAACUAUGGACCAGAUUCAGGGGCUUCAGCACUCCUGUUUUCCUCAUCCAAGUACAAGUACAAGUGUUAAUAUGACCUUCAUGGACCUAGAAUAAGUUUCAAACAAAGGGUGUGACAUAUUAUUUGUUUUUCUACUCCUCAAAUUUGGUUUUUCAGCCAAUCAUUGGGAGAGAACCCUCAACGACGGUAAUGGCGAACGGUAACUGCAACAAUAUGGAUAUGGUUUCGUUCAUCCUUUGAUCCUUCUCAUUGUAUAUCAUCUAUCUUCUUUGAAAGUAAAACAAUGACUUUCAUCAAUCCAUAAAAAUAAUUAUAAUAAUAACAACAAUAUGACAUUUGUUUUUAGGGUUUUUAACUUCCAAGAAUUGGGCUUCUGCCAAAAAAAAAAAGCUUCCAAGGAUUGGGUUUAGAUUGAUAAUCUUUUGAAAUGAUGAGGCUUUGAAACUUCUCCAUUUAUGGGUUGAAGUUUUGCCUUUUGGUAUUUGACUAUAAGCAUGUCAUCUUUGUGCUUGCUUCCAUGUCGUGGCUUUGCAAAUAAAGAUCAUAAAGUUGAAACUUGGGAUGUUAUUUGUUUGACAGGUUCACCUUUGCUUUUCUCCAUUUUUGUUUUGUUUCUGUAAUGCUAGAUAUCUUUUAUUUUUUGUUAUUAACUUUGCUAUUUUAUUGUUUUUAUAGUUCUACCCUUUCAACUAUCUAUUUGCCACUACCCUAUUUGCACGAGAAGGAAGGAAAGUUUGCCGGCCAUGGCGAUCAGUUUCAGUCGAGAAGUGGCAUUUUUAUAUUGCAUAUCCUUGGCUGAUGCUUGCGGAGAAGGAAGACAGUGACAAGCGUGGCUUCUACAGUCUCUCCACCCAAAAGGUUUACCACUUGAACUUGCUAGAGGCCCGUGGCAGGCGGUGUUGGUCCUAUUGUGAUUGGUUGAUAACUUUUGGGCUUGAUUGGUAGAUUCACUUAUUAAACCCCUUUUCUGGGAUUAAAAUUCGGCUUGCACCUCAGCCAAAAGUCCCCAAGGAAUACUCUCCAGAAAAAUGUAGUCCAAAAUAUCUCUGUCGGCAUUUUCUAUGGAAAGUGAUAUUGUCAUCAAGACCUUCUCUUUCAUCUAAAACAACACCCAGUUAAGACAAAUGUGUGGUUAUGGCGAUAAGAACUGUAUAUAAGAGAUUAAACUUCUUGAGAUUAGGCGAUGAAGUUUGGACUCCUGUAGACAGUCAUAUUGGUAUCACUGACGUCAUCUACUUCAAUGGUCAAUUCUAUGCUUUCUCUAAUAAAGGGAAAUUGUUGAUUGUUGAUAUUUCUAGUCCUCAACCAAAGACGGUUGAGUUUCCGAACCAGCAGAGGGUUUAAACAUUUAUGCCUAUUAUUAUCUUGUGGAGUCAGCAGGAGAGCUCUUUAUGCUUGCACGGGAUAUUUAUGAGGACUAUGAUGAUUCGAAAUGCUACCUACAUGACACGGGUAGUAUUGAUGUUUACAAGUUCAAUCCUAAUAACAGGAAGUGGACGGAAGUGAAGAGCCUGGAUAAUUGAGCACUGUUUAUUGGUGCUAAUACGUCCUUCGCCAUCAUCCCCUCUAAACAUUUGGGAUGCGAACCUAACUGUAUCUACUUCACUGAUGAUGCCUAUGAAGCUCUUAAGAAAGGAGGUGGUGAAGACAUGGGAGUUUAGAGGAUGGAGAUUGAGGAAUUUGAUGAUCAUUAUGUUGGGCCCGACAUCGUUUCUCAUGUUUCGGCACCUCUUUGGAUUUGUCCUUCUCCAUGGGGAAUUUGAUAAUCACUAUGUUGGCUCCUGACAUCGUUUCUCGUGUUAUUGCACUUUUUUUUUUCCCUCAUGUUUUGGACUGAGAUUGUGGGUCGAUUCUGACCACUUAAUUUGUGUUAAGUAACUUAUUUUUAUUUUA
Molecule: long non-coding RNA, 1960 nt
Organism: Macadamia integrifolia
Lineage: Eukaryota; Viridiplantae; Streptophyta; Magnoliopsida; Proteales; Proteaceae
Exons: 2
Source: RefSeq, a predicted model, not a curated record